GUCAUAUAUCGCUUUGUAGUGCUGUAAUGUGCAAAUUAGCGGACUUUAUAGCGGCUCUCUAUUUUCCGUCGUUGUCUUUCGAGCAGCGCCUGUUGUUCCGGUAAAAAUCGAGUUGAAUGAAUCGCCACAGCCCCAACGUAUAUCGCGCAGUGUUGACCAAGACCAAGUCAAGCAGGAAUUCUGGCAUGGUAUGUGGCUGCACGAAGGAUUCCGGAAAAGAAAAACAACAACAUGGCUAAUAGGAUGUUGCUGCCCAGGGAGUCCUGGCGAAGAGGUUUACUCAUUCCAGAAGCAAGAAUUGUAUCAUUGUAAGGCGAAUGGAAAUAAACUGACAUCGACUGAGA
Long non-coding RNA from Ornithodoros turicata, 344 nucleotides. RefSeq lists it as uncharacterized. The record is from RefSeq and is a predicted model, not a curated record. Lineage: Eukaryota; Metazoa; Arthropoda; Arachnida; Ixodida; Argasidae. The transcript is spliced from 3 exons.